GGCCGUGUGGCGAAAUGGCAUCGCGUCUGACUACGAAUCAGGAGAUCGCAGGUUCGACCCCUGUCUCGGUCA
Hypholoma sublateritium FD-334 SS-4 is the source of this 72-nucleotide transfer RNA. It matches the Rfam family "tRNA". Rfam says of the family: Transfer RNA (tRNA) molecules are approximately 80 nucleotides in length. Their secondary structure includes four short double-helical elements and three loops (D, anti-codon, and T loops). Further hydrogen bonds mediate the characteristic L-shaped molecular structure. tRNAs have two regions of fundamental functional importance: the anti-codon, which is responsible for specific mRNA codon recognition, and the 3' end, to which the tRNAs corresponding amino acid is attached (by aminoacyl-tRNA synthetases). tRNAs cope with the degeneracy of the genetic code in two manners: having more than one tRNA (with a specific anti-codon) for a particular amino acid; and 'wobble' base-pairing, i.e. permitting non-standard base-pairing at the 3rd anti-codon position. NCBI's taxonomy places the organism in Eukaryota, Fungi, Basidiomycota, Agaricomycetes, Agaricales, Strophariaceae. The record is from Rfam.